Stomoxys calcitrans (stable fly) is the source of this 1365-nucleotide long non-coding RNA. RefSeq lists it as uncharacterized. The transcript has 4 exons. The record is from RefSeq and is a predicted model, not a curated record. Lineage: Eukaryota; Metazoa; Arthropoda; Insecta; Diptera; Muscidae.
CUGAGUCAAAAGUUUUUUCUAUAUCUAAUGAUAUAGCCACAGUACAAAUUUUGUUCCAGGUUUGCGGUUAUGUCACUUUGAAAUUUCAGUAGAGCGUGCUGGGCGGAGUGUGCCUUGUUAAAACCAAAUUGUGUGAAAUAGGGUCUAUGGUAAAUUCUUUGUCAAUUUUCUUUUUUAGGACAUUUUCCCGAUAUUUUACAGCAGAGAAAUCGGGCGAAAAUCAGCAGGAGUUUCACUAGCUGUUUUUUCCUUAUUGGAAUUAUGUUGGCCUCCUUCCACACUGUAGGGAAAUAGUUGUUGUAUAUGAUGAUUUCUAAUCAAAUUUCCAGAAUUGGUAAAAUGGUAAUCGUCGGGAUUUUCGAGAGAGUUGAAACCGCCACUAAAUGAGUAUAUGUGGGCUGGAAUAAGGUCGAUGCAAGAUGAAACCCUUGAGAACAAAUCAUUGACUGGUCUUUCAGGGCUGGUUUCAGAAAAUGUUGCGGCAUAAAACGUUUGGAAGCUGUUUGCUAUCUCAUCUCCACUGGUGAUAAUACUGUUGUUGAGGCGUAGUUGCCUGCAAAAAGGCGACUUUCUUUUUCCAGAUGUUGAAUAAAUUUCCUUAAAUGCGGAUGGACCAGAGAGUUGGAAUUGCUUGCUGUUAUAUAACAUUUUCUGGGAAUGUGAAUCAUGGACUUUAUUUAUAGCCCUAUUAAAAUCACCAAUCAAUGAAUCUAAGUCACCAUUGGACAGAUUUCGACUUGUUGGAGGUAUCAGUUGCAGGGAUUUUACAUUUAGAUCACAACGAAAUCUAUCCCAAGGGGAAAGUGAUCGGAGAAUGUAGGAAGAGAAGAAAUCACCACAUUUUGCAAUGUGAGGUCGACUAAUUCUGUGCUGAUAAGAAAAUGGUCGAGAAAAGACAACCGAUUUGGAUAUGAUGGUGAAGCAUCACAUGUUCUUACGAGUCUAAGGAGUUCUCAUCUAACCAGUUUGCGAGGACCUUUCCAUUUGUAUUAUCCAUACUAUCUCCCCAUGAAAUACUUCUCGAGUUCAAGUCUCCACCAAGAAUGAAGCCAUCAAAGUUACUACAUAGCUGCAUCAACUUAUUAAGAUCCGAGUCUAGUCUUUGGGUGUUAUAAUUACAUGGUAUAUAUAGAGAUCCAACCAAAUAUCUCCUAUAAAUGUUAUUAUGAACUUCUUCAAUUUGUACUAACAAAGCAAAAAUACCCACAUCAUGUAAAUUAAUUCGUUGAUAUCAACUAAAGAGCGUACAUUGAAUGUAAGGAAGUUUAGGCAUCUACGGUCCAGAUCCAUAUUGGCUUUUUAAAAUAAAACAUGUUUUUAAGAUUUUAGAAAUAUCUCACAGCUGUGAUAUCAAGCCUUUGACAU